GCUCAACCGGGGAGGGUCAUUGGAAACUGGGGAACUUGAGUGCAGAAGAGGAGAGUGGAAUUCCACGUGUAGCGGUGAAAUGCGUAGAGAUGUGGAGGAACACCAGUGGCGAAGGCGACUCUCUGGUCUGCAACUGACGCUGAGGCGCGAAAGCGUGGGGAGCGAACAGGAUUAGAUACCCUGGUAGUCCACGCCGUAAACGAUGAGUGCUAAGUGUUAGAGGGUUUCCGCCCUUUAGUGCUGCAGCAAACGCAUUAAGCACUCCGCCUGGGGAGUACGGUCGCAAGACUGAAACUCAAAGGAAUUGACGGGGGCCCGCACAAGCGGUGGAGCAUGUGGUUUAAUUCGAAGCAACGCGAAGAACCUUACCAGGUCUUGACAUCCUUUGACAACCCUAGAGAUAGGGCUUCCCCUUCGGGGGCAGAGUGACAGGUGGUGCAUGGUUGUCGUCAGCUCGUGUCGUGAGAUGUUGGGUUAAGUCCCGCAACGAGCGCAACCCUUGAUCUUAGUUGCCAGCAUUCAGUUGGGCACUCUAAGGUGACUGCCGGUGACAAACCGGAGGAAGGUGGGGAUGACGUCAAAUCAUCAUGCCCCUUAUGACCUGGGCUACACACGUGCUACAAUGGGCAGAACAAAG
This 637-nucleotide ribosomal RNA is filed under the name uncultured bacterium. Its description in RNAcentral is "bacterial SSU rRNA". It matches the Rfam family "Bacterial small subunit ribosomal RNA", at positions 607 to 1244 of the family's 1533-position model. The record is from RNAcentral.